Papilio xuthus (Asian swallowtail) is the source of this 172-nucleotide long non-coding RNA. RefSeq lists it as uncharacterized. The record is from RefSeq and is a predicted model, not a curated record. NCBI's taxonomy places the organism in Eukaryota, Metazoa, Arthropoda, Insecta, Lepidoptera, Papilionidae. The transcript is spliced from 3 exons.
GAAAACGGGAAUGUUGGAUUGGAUAGUUCAUGAACUGGGCGCUUGGCGAUAUUUUUGCUGUUCCUUGGCGGCGAAAACAGUGGUGCAAACGGGAAUUUUGGCUUGGAUAGUUCAUGAAUUCGGCGCUUGGCGAUAUUUUGCUGUUCCUUGGAGACGAAAACAAUGGAGACAA